Molecule: long non-coding RNA, 346 nt
Organism: Physella acuta
Lineage: Eukaryota; Metazoa; Mollusca; Gastropoda; Physidae
Source: RefSeq, a predicted model, not a curated record
UACAACCUGAAGCAGAACUACAACAGACUUUGAUAUCUUGAUUGUGACCCUCAGAAAUUAAGAUGCGACUUGUACUCAUCUCCUUGCUGGUCGUGUUGGUGUCUGCGACUGUGAGAGCAGAGAACGACGAGAUAACCAAGGAAUCUGAUGGAAUGGACAGUCAUGAAUUUUGGUUUCUAUUAUUUUGUACGUCAUGCGAACAAGAAAACUGUGGUGACGCUAGUCUCAGCUGUUUGCAGAAGAGAGUUUUAAACAAUCAAUUUGCUGGAAUCAUUGAUUUUCCAUGAACCAAGGUGUUGGUUUAUUAUAAACGUACUAUUUGGGAGCUCUAAUUCCAACAUCAGAA